ACAGUGCAGAUCCAGUAAAUACGGUGGAAGAGGACACGCCAUGGCGAGAGUAAAGACACCAAAGACGUUCAAAGUUAAGGGCAGCCAAGGGGUCCGGAGCCCAACCCCAGGGAGGAUGUGCAGACAGAGGUCCUGAUCCUAGGCCCCUCCCAGAAUUUAUUAUUGUGUGAAGAAGGGAGUGGCUUGAAGAUGAGUGACAGUGAGGAUGGCGGGAAUGAUGUGAGAAACGUGAGCUGGCUGGCCAGGUAGGGAGAAAAGCAUCUUUGCAAAAUGCAGAGAUAACGAUAUGCAGAAAGGUCAAUUUGUAUAAUUCAAUUAAGGUAGUAACUAAAUUGUUUUUGGAGGCUGUUGCUUCAGUUUCUGAUAUGCAAAUUUUCAUGCCCUAGGGACUCAUAGCUUCUUUAUCUUGAGGCCCAUGCGCAGUUGACAUUCCUGAAGCUGACUGGCUCUACUAUCCUGCUGUGCUCAUAUAUUUUACAGACAGCCCUAUGCUAGGAAACAGACUAGCUGAUGGCUUUAAAGAUUACCUACAAGUACCUCGCUAGCCUUAUUUGCAAGGCUUAGAGGGACUGCAGGAGCUGCAGAUGGAAGCAACCUGCUUCGGACCGAAAAGCAACUGCCUGUUGCAAGCAGUUAAUCAAGAGUCCAGGCGACUUGGCUGGUGCUUGGCAUAAGACUGCCUGGCACAGACUACGUGCUCAAGAAGGGCUUGCUAACAAAACUGAUGUGAUGGCUUUGUGCCUAUGUCACAGUGAACUGCUUGUUUCCUGAAAGAAUCUAUGUGGAGCUGAAGAACUUUGCUAUGGAGGUCUUCCUUGACUCUGGACCAACACAGCACUCUCUGGAGUCUAGACUUAGAGGGUAAAGUCUCAGUGGAAAAGUCUUUGGUUCCCAGAAGAGGAAAGAUUCUGCCUGCAGACUCCAUUGAGAUCCAUGACUGCAGCCUCAACUCUCACCUUGGGUUCUGGACUUCAGACUUGCACAAUCCCAUAGGUUCAGCCAGGCUGAUGGAGUGAGAGGUUUAAUAUGAUUCCUUGAGGAAAAAAAGAGACGCUCAAACCAAGGGUUUGAGCAGAGAAAGGGAGACACAAAGCAAGUUCCAUUUUAAGACGAUAAAGCGUCAAUUGGACAUUUGCAGAAACCAGUGACACCUGAAGGUGGCCGUGCAACUGGGGGACAAAGCAAAACACUGGGUGAAGGUGUUCUGCAGACAGCCUUGUGAGCACUGCUGAAUGUACCUUUUAAAAAGCAUGAAGUGGCUACAGGAAAGAAAUAACUUGCCAAAAGGGUCAAAUGCACUUUUGUGAGAAUUACAGUAACUCACACUUAAGGACACAAAACCGGAGAUCUUGAAUGAAGGAGGCAGGAAAGAGCAUCAGUGCAAUGGAACAGCUCUCAGGUAAAGGUGAGAUUCAGGGCUGAAUUUAAGGAAGGGCCCACUUCCCAGGACAAGGUAGACCAGCCUCACGAGAAACUUGCCCAGGAGGGUUACCUUGCAAGCAUAAGACAUGUUCCUUCGCAUGAGUAACACAGUCACUCCCAGGGAAAAGGAGGAGGAGAAAACAAGCCUGCCAAUAAUUCCAGAGAUGCUUUCUCAAGAGAGAGGCAUAAGGGUUCCUCUGGCAAAGUGCUUUCCCAAUAACCCUCCAAGCCAUGCUUUGUAGUUAAGUGUGAUUUUUUGUUUUCUCUUCUGUUUGUAUGAUUUUGCCUCAGUAACAUGGUUUAGGGGAAUAUUGUCUCAAAAAUAAAUAAGGUGAGCCAGUCACCUUAGAAAUUAUACCAUCCCCAUGAUCCAAUCACCUUCCAAACAUAAGACUUUUAAAUCUAAACCAGAGGUAUAGUAAAUUUUCAAUCAGAGAACUAGGGAAAAUACGACACUCUAUCAAGUAGUACACAGUCAGACAAUUUAGAGGACCUAGAGCUCACCAGGAUGAGGGAUGGCUGACAAGCUGAAGUUAGAGGAGCCCUCAGGUAUAACAGGACUUGGGACAGUGGUUUUCAAAGUGGCAUCCCUGAGACUCUUUCAGAAGUCUGCAAGAUCAAACUAUUUUCAUAACAAUAUUAAGGUUUUCACUAUCUUUUUCACUGUGUUUAUAUUUCCACUGAAAACAGUAAAAUUGCUAUUAGCUUAGCAUGCAGGAAUCAUGAUAGAGGCACCAAUUUGUCACCACACACUCAAAGCAAGACAAACGCCAGUUUCAUUUAUGAAUGUUCCAAUCAGCAAAAGUCAAUUUUCUUCAAUCAGUCUUCAAGUAUGUGUCCACUUAAUAGCCUACAUAGCCAAGUGAGAAUACUUCUAGACCAUUUGUGCUGAAUAUUGAUGUUGGUUUUCUUCAGAAAACUCUUAUAAUAUCUAUUUUUUGAAGUUUGAAUUUUGAUUUAAAUUAGUCACUUUUUUCAUAGAACACUAUUUUUACUUUAGAGAAUGAAGACAACCUUAGAUACUUCACAGGCAGUUUCUCAAAAUUGAAAAAAGUGAGCUAGUCACCUUAAGUAAAACUAAUGACAAUAUCUGUUGCCAAAUAUAAAAUCUGAACCCAAGAGAAAACUGGAAUACAGAAAACUAAUGUCUGGACAGUGAGCUUGCAGAUUUCUUACAAAGACUUUUCUAUGAGAGUGGUGGUACUGGUGAUGAAUGUGACUCUUUCAUACUGUAUGCUAAAAUAUGUCAAAACAUUUGAGAGAUCUAUAUAACUUGGUAAACCAGUGUUUCCCAACUGUUAAAAAAUCAUAUAUGUGUGUGAAGGUAUGGACAACUAUUUCAAAGAAAACAAGAGACAUUAUGGCAGCCACUACUGAUUUCCUUUUGUCUUAUGAAGUCCUGUGUUGCUUGCAUUGUUUUGUUCUGAUUUGUUUUGCUCUGUUUUGUUUUAUUCUCUUUAAAAAAAAUUAAAGAAAUCAUAUAUGGGUAAAAUUUAAAAUACAAAAUGCAUGAGUGAGUUUCAUACAACAGUUUGAAAACUCCAUCUAUAAGGUUGCAGACUCUACAGUGUAGCUAACUUUUAAGAAAUUGGCACAUGUUAAACUUGAGCAUAAUACUAAACAGUAUGUACAAUUAUAAUAAAGGAUUUAAAAUAUUCUCACAGAGGCUGGCUUUUCGUAAGUCCCAAAUAAAUGAGACAUUACACAGAUUGUAAUUCUCAUAUCAGUAGCUAUGAGAAUCUAACUUAUUUUAUUGUUAGAUAUUAAAGAGAUUUGUACACUGUAAAUGACAUCACUCCUCACUGAAGUUUUGCUUUUCAAGAUAAGGUAUGGUAUUUACAUUAAUGUUUCAUACAUUGUUAUUAGUUUUAAAUGAAUAAAUAAAUGAGGAUUUGUCUGUGUAAAUUUCUGACGUUGUAAUUUCUAUAGUCUCCUCUAAUAUGCAGUUUUGUUUUUUGCAGAUAAGUCAUGAUAUAGUCAUAUUAAGUAAGAAAUUCCAGCAUAGAAUUUAGAGAAAGGUGUUUCAUAACAUGUUGCAGAGAGAGAGAGAGAGAGAGAGAGAGAGAGAGAGAGAGAGAGAGAGAGAGAGAAAGAGAGAAAGCUCUGUACCUGGGAGUUAUAAGUUAAGAAAACUCAAAAUUUUUGUCCUUUUAAGUGCUGAAAUAACUGAAGACUAAAUUGGGUCUCGCGAAUAAGUAAUUUGUCAAAGUUGGCAUUCAUUGGUAAGCAGUUUGACUGAGCAUUUGUUUAAAUUUUUAGUCUAUAUAGAAUCAAACUUACAAUGAAUUAUCUUCAAAGCAUUUUUGUAAACCCAUGAUUCUGACGUUUGACUAGUGAAAACAAAGUGUGCUUUCAAUACUUAAAUUUUUGCGUUUUUUAUGUAUUCUUAACUAUGAUGAUUUAUCAUGGAUAGUGUAAUUUGGGAUUUUCCUGCUGAAAUGCCAGAGAUGGGAAAUAAUUUUUGUCCUUUAAGUCAAGUUUAUGUGAUAAUCAACUUAAACUUUAUUAUAGGUAUGAGAUGGGAUAGGAAAAGUGUAUUUCCUAAUGAACUAUCACAGUGAAGUCUCAUUGCCAUUUCCCCUCUCUCCAAACAUUCCCUCUUGCUUCAAACACACUUAAUCCGUCAUUCUGUGUACUUUGCGAAGCAGAUCUGGAGGUCCUCUUUCAUGAAUAUCCUUAGCUGCGCUGUUGUGUUGCCUUGAAGUCCUGAAUUCGACCUUGGGGAGAGCCAGACUCGGCUAACCUGGUAAACGAAGUGGGUGAGGACACGCUAAUAUUUUUAUGAGCUUUCCUUUCCACUGGAUGCCACAGUAGGCACUUCACUGUAUUAUCACAUCCUAUCACGUUACUUAGAGAGGACAUCCAGAACUGCUCAGAAAAUGAGAGGAAGGAUGGGAUAAGCGUAUUCAAAGUUAGGUAGAGUCUUGAGAGGGGUUAAUAGCCAU
Molecule: long non-coding RNA, 4367 nt
Organism: Cavia porcellus (domestic guinea pig)
Lineage: Eukaryota; Metazoa; Chordata; Mammalia; Rodentia; Caviidae
Exons: 5
Source: RefSeq, a predicted model, not a curated record